CUCCAUUGCUGCAAAAUCCCAAAGACCUUUCCACUGCUGGUGGCCAUCCGCUGGCCACCACGUUCCAGGCAGAAGGGACCUGCCAGGACCAGGACAGCGCUGAUUCUGGUCUGGGCUUAAUUCCCUUCC
This is a long non-coding RNA of Egretta garzetta (little egret), 129 nucleotides long. RefSeq lists it as uncharacterized. Lineage: Eukaryota; Metazoa; Chordata; Aves; Pelecaniformes; Ardeidae. The transcript is spliced from 3 exons. The record is from RefSeq and is a predicted model, not a curated record.